This 4458-nucleotide unclassified non-coding RNA is filed under the name Hevea brasiliensis (rubber tree). The record is from RNAcentral. Lineage: Eukaryota; Viridiplantae; Streptophyta; Magnoliopsida; Malpighiales; Euphorbiaceae.
CUAAAAAUAAAAAAAUCUCAUUUCCAGUCCGCAGCCUCGACUCCUUGCUGUGACAGAAUCAGAGAGCAGCAACUCUUGGCUCGCACCACCACCGGCCUCCUUCUCCUCCACCUCCCCAAGCAUUAAAAAACUUAAAAACAGAACAACCUUUCCAUUUUUAGUAACCCCAUCGUCUCUCUCCUCCGACACAUAUACUCCAACCUCAUCUCCCCUUUCCGUUUUUAGUAACUUUCACACCCCCUCUUAAAUUUCCUCAUCUUGCUCCAGAUUUCUUGGCCUCUAACAAUCCUAGCUGAGUUUCGAGGAGAUUGAGAUUUUUAGUAAAUUGCGCCAGCUUUGGGGACUGCACAAUUCUGGGCGUCAUCUUGUUGAGGAUUGAAGGGCAGUGAGAUUUUGCUCUGUGAGUAGUGUUGGCACUGCAAUAUUUCAAAGGGGAAGUUUGGGGUCUUUGGUGAAAUUGAGUUGUUUGUGCUUGUUAUAAGGUAAGAAAAGUAAGUUUAGAAAAGGGGAUUUCUUUGGUAGCGCUGAUAAAGUUGUUAAAAGUGAAACGUUUAUGGAUUUGAGAAUAAAAAUUAAGGGUCUUCAUCAGCAAAUGAGAGAAGAUAGCAGGAGGGAAUUUCUGGGAAUGGUUUUCUAACGUUUUCUUGCUUCACUGGGUAGAGUUGUUGGUUAGAUAAAAUAAAAUGGAAAACCCCUUCUCAUUGAAAGAUAAGGGGACUGGUUAUUGGACUUCGCCCAGAGCACAGACAGAUGGUAUGGCUCCAUCAGAUGGUGGUGCAAGGAAUUCAAUUUCAGAGGACCCAUUCAACCAUUUUUCCGAGAUAAUGAAUUUUGAUACAUACGCUGGUUGGUGCAACAGCCCAUCAGCAACAGACCAGAUGUUUGCCUCCUAUGGGUUAUCGUCUCUCCAGUCAACACCCUAUGCAUCUUUUGAUUUAUUAAGUUUUGCGGAACAGAAUUCUCCAACCUCUCUUUUAGGCAGUGUAUUAAAUGCUGCUGGGACUUCUUACAAUUCUGGAGACAAAAUGGCAUUUCAGCAAGCGGAUUCCCAAUUUAGUUAUGCAUCAGAUUUAAUGGAUGCUGAUGAUUUGGGUGCCAAACAAAGUAAUGGUUCUCAGCAACAGAGCGAUUUCUUGGAUAUGGAUAAUUGUAUGAUUUCUAGACCCAUUGGGUUCUCACUUGAUGAAAAGAUGUUAAGGGCAUUAUCCUUGUUGAAAGAAUCUGCUGGUGAUGGCAUUUUGGCACAAGUUUGGGUUCCAAUGAGGCACAGAGAUCAAUAUAUCAUGACCACUUUUGAGCAACCGUACUUACUUGACCAAAUUCUGGCAGGUUAUCGUGAAGUUUCGAGGACAUAUACAUUCUCUGCAGAAGUGAAGCCUGACCUUCCCCUAGGCCUUCCUGGUCGUGUGUUCAUCUCUAAAGUUCCAGAAUGGACUUCAAAUGUAGUUUAUUAUAGGAAUACUGAGUACUUGCGAGCAAAGCACGCACGCCACCAUAAGGUCCAAGGAUCUAUUGCCUUGCCGAUCUUUGAACCUCCUGAGAUGUCCUGUUGUGCUGUACUGGAACUUGUCACAAUUAAGGAGAAACCUAAUUUUGAUUCAGAAAUGGAAAAUGUUUGCCUCGCCCUCCAGGCUGUAAAUUUAAGAACCACUGCACCUCCUCGACUUCUUCCUCAGAGCCUCUCAGGGAAUCAAAGAGCUGCCUUAACGGAAAUAACUGAUGUUUUACGAGCUGUAUGUCAUGCACAUAGCUUACCACUAGCUCUAACAUGGAUUCCUUGCAAUUAUAUGGAGGAAGCUGUUGAUGAAAUAAUUAAAGUGCGUGUCAGGGAAGGUAAUUCAAGGUCUACUGGGAAAUUUGUGCUAUGCAUUGAGGGUACAGCUUGUUAUGUGAAUGAUAGAGAAAUGCAAGGAUUUGUACAUGCAUGUUCAGAACAUUAUAUUGAGGAAGGACAAGGUAUAGCUGGAAAAGCACUUCAAUCAAAUCACCCUUUCUUCUUCCCUGACGUGAAGGCGUAUGAUAUAAUUGAAUACCCACUUGUCCAUCAUGCACGCAAGUAUGGUCUGAAUGCUGCAGUUGCAAUCAGGCUAAGAAGCACUUAUACUGGUGAUGACGAUUAUAUAUUAGAGUUCUUUCUUCCUGUCAAUAUGAAGGGGAGUUCGGAACAGCAACUUUUGUUGAACAACCUCUCAGGUACCAUGCAGAGAAUCUGUAAAAGUUUGAGAACAGUUUCAGAUGCAGAGUUAGCAGGGGGAGAAGGUUCUAAAGUUGAGUCUCAGAAGGGAGCAAUAACCAGCUUUCCACCAAUGUCUGUUUCAAUGAGUAACUCUCAAACCACAUUAUCUGCGGCCAACUUAAAUUUGACCGACAAAAUACCUUCCGAUGCAGCUGGGUCCAAAUAUGAUGGAAUGGAAUCAGAUGGUCCUCAUGAACAGGUGAUGAAUAGAUCAAGGAGGCAGCUGGAGAAGAAGAGGAGUACAGCAGAGAAAAAUGUGAGCUUGAGCGUCCUUCAGCAAUACUUUUCUGGAAGUCUCAAGGAUGCUGCCAAAAGCAUUGGUGGUGAGCUUCAUCUCAUCUGUUCACGUGUUGGUGUUGAAUAUGGAAACAACUGCAGAUACACUCAUAUUUUUAAAUAAACAUUGAUAUUUUCAUGUAAAAUCAUUUACUCAUUUAAUAAAGUUCUUCCUGGAAUUGGUGGAGGUUAAUGGUUCAAACCCAAAUGGUGUCAGUAAUUAGUAAGGAAGUGAUAGUGAUGACCUUAAGUAGUGCAACUUUUAGGCCCCCUUUUCAAAUUAUCCUUUUAAUGUAGUAUAGAAUUUUUACUAAUUUAUUUAGAAGAAUCUGUAAUUUAACUUCCGAAUUUCUUGUCUUUUCAUUAGUUUGCCCCACAACACUGAAAAGGAUAUGCAGACAACAUGGGAUCUCUAGAUGGCCAUCCCGCAAGAUAAAUAAGGUGAACCGCUCAUUGAGGAAAAUACAGACCGUGCUUGACUCUGUUCAGGGAGUGGAGGGAGGACUAAAAUUUGACCCUAGCACAGGGGGAUUUGUGGCGGCAGGCUCCAUUGUCCAGGAAAAAAGCUUUCUAUUUCCUGACAAAAAACUUCCCUCUAGAAAUUCUGAAUCCGCCACUGAAGAUGCAGUUUCUGUACCUGCAGCUCAUAUUGAUGGCAAUAAUUCUUCAGUUAAAGUUGAAGAAGAUGAAUGCUGUGUGGAUGCAUGUGGGGAACUGCUAAUUAAAUCUAGCGCUUGUGUCAUUGAUUGUAGUGAAGAUUCCAAAUUGAUAUCAACAGAUGCUGGAAUAUGUCAAAAGGGUAGCGGUGGCUGUGGACCUUGGGCUGCUAUGGAUAAUUCCUCUACAUUUGCAAAAGGAGGGAAGGGAAGUCUUAACACUGGAAGCGUGAAACUAGACAAUUCGGACACUCAUUUUGUGUGUAGAAGCUCAAGCUCCCUGGGUGCUACUGAGGAGUUGGAUGCCAAAGUGGAGGGUGAUGAUGGAAUGGUUGAACAUAACUGGCCUACUUGUUCGAGCAUGACUGAGUCUUCAAAUGGCUCUGGUUCAAUGAUUCAUGGCAGUGCAUCAAGCUCACCAAGCUAUGAGGAGGAGAAGCAUUCAAAAGUCAAAUGUGAUGAUCAUGGAUCGAAAAUUACUGUGAAAGCCACAUAUAAGGAAGAUACAAUUAGAUUUAAGUUUGAGCCUUCUGCAGGGUGUUUCCAAUUGUAUGAAGAAAUUGCAAAAAGGUUCAAAUUGCAAAAUGGAACAUUCCAGCUAAAGUAUCUUGAUGAUGAAGAAGAGUGGGUGAUGCUGGUGAGUGACUCUGACUUGCAGGAGUGUGUUGAGAUACUGGAUUAUAUUGGAAAACGAAGUGUGAAGUUCCUUGUUCGUGACGUAGCUUUUACAAUGGGCAGCUCGGGCAGCAGCAGUUGCUUCUUAGGAGGAAGCUCCUAGCACUUCAGGUGAUGGCUCAACCAACAGUCUAGCUGAAGCGGUAGCAAUUGCAGUUUUCUGAGUGCUCAUUAAGCUUUCCAAGUUUGCAUGAUUCUGGUUUCUACUAAAAGUUGAUGUUGUACUAUGAAGGUUGCAAGGGAAGUGUAAGAUGGCCAAAAUUUCUCAGCAGCACAUCCAAAAAUUUUCAGAACCAAUCAAAGGAGGUGACACCUUUGUUUAUGGGCGAAUAUAUGACCGGUGGUUCAAAACAGUGAGACUGAAAGUUCAGCAGCUUUUUUCUCUGAUUGGUUAUUAUAGUUCCAGGGAUGGAGGAAAAGACAGGAAAUAAAGCAGAUUCAGAAGUUCCAUAGCUCAUUAGAUGUUAGAUAUAUAGGCUUGUACAUGCUAGUUGUAGCCAAAAAUGCUUGUAGCCGUAGAAAUCCUUGAAGCACUGUAUUCUAUGUUCUAGUCUGUACAGUAAUUUACAUAUUAAUUAAUUGGAGAAAAUAGGAAAAGUUUUAAUAUAAAUUAAU